GAUGAAGAACGUAGCGAAAUGCGAUACUUGGUGUGAAUUGCAGAAUCCCGUGAACCAUCGAGUCUUUGAACGCAAGUUGCGCCCGAAGCCAUCAGGUUGAGGGCACGUCUGCCUGGGCGUCACAUAUCGUUGCCCAAUGCCUAUUGCAGUGCAAUAGGAAUUUCUAGGGCGAAAGAUGGCUUCCCGUGAGCGUUGUUGCCUCGCGGUUGGUUGAAAAUUGAGUCCUUGGUAGGGUGUGCCAUGAUAGAUGGUGGUCGAGUUUGCACGAGACCGAUCAUGUGUGCGCUCCCCAAAAUAUGGACUCUUUGACCCCACACGCGUCUUUUGACGCUCAUGACGAGACCUCAGGUCAGGCGGGGCUACCCGCUGAGUUUAAGCAUAUCAAUAAGCGGAGGA
RNAcentral lists this unclassified non-coding RNA (396 nucleotides) under soil metagenome. Its description in RNAcentral is "partial contains 5.8S ribosomal RNA, internal transcribed spacer 2, and large subunit ribosomal RNA". The stretch from base 1 to 122 matches the Rfam family "5.8S ribosomal RNA", at positions 35 to 154 of the family's 154-position model. The record is from RNAcentral.